Molecule: ribosomal RNA, 592 nt
Filed under: uncultured marine eukaryote
Lineage: Eukaryota
Description: SSU rRNA
Rfam family: Eukaryotic small subunit ribosomal RNA
Source: RNAcentral
UACCUGGUUGAUCCUGCCAGUAGUCAUGUGCUUGUCUCAAAGACUAAGCCAUGCAUGUCUAAGUAUAAGUAUUAUACAGCGAAACUGCGAAUGGCUCAUUAAAACAGUUAUAGUUUAUUUGAUAAUCGAAUUUACAUGGAUAACCGUGGUAAUUCUAGAGCUAAUACAUGCUGGUGUGCCCGACUUUUGUGGAAGGGCGGUGUUUAUUAGAUAACAAGCCAAUAUUCCUCUGGUCUAUUGUGGUGACUCACAAUAACUGAUCGAAUCGCAAGGCCUAUGGCCGCGGUAAGUCAUUCAAGUUUCUGCCCCAUCAGCUUUCGACGGUGGUGUAUUGGACUACCAUGGCGUUUACGGGUAACGGAGGAUUAGGGUUCGAUUCCGGAGAGGGAGCCUGAGAAACGGCUACCACAUCUAAGGAAGGCAGCAGGCGCGUAAAUUACCCAAUCCUGACUCAGGGAGGUAGUGACAAGAAAUAACGGACCGGGGCCUUACGGCUUCGGGAUUGCAAUGAGCCGAAUUUACACCCCUUAGCGAAGAUCGAUUGGAGGGCAAGUCUGGUGCCAGCAGCCGCGGUAAUUCCAGCUCCAAUAGC